ACACGACUACAUUAGAUACCCCCGUAGUCCCAGCCCUAAACGAUGCGCGUUAGGUGUAUCGGUGACCACGAGUCACCGAGGUGCCGAAGGGAAACCGUGAAACGUGCCGCCUGGGAAGUACGGUCGCAAGGCUGAAACUUAAAGGAAUUGGCGGGGAGCACAACAACGGGUGGAGCUUGCGGUUUAAUUGGAUUCAACGCCGGAAAUCUUACCGGGACCGACAGCAACAUGAAGGCCAAGCUGAAGACUUUGCCGGAUUAGCUG
Molecule: ribosomal RNA, 264 nt
Filed under: uncultured archaeon
Lineage: Archaea
Description: partial 16S ribosomal RNA
Rfam family: Archaeal small subunit ribosomal RNA
Source: RNAcentral